GAGGGCCCAAAACUUGGUUUCAUCUCCAACGCAACAGUGAGAUGGUUUGAUUACAAAGUCCAAAAGAACACAGGAAGGAAAAUGAGAAUGAGAUAGUUGGAAAUGAAAAAUGAACAUAGUGUUGUUUCUUCGUGGUUUUCCUGUUGUAAUCAUAUGGACCUCUCAUUUAAUUUAAUGAUUACGUUUGUUUGUUUGCAGGAUGCAAGGGGAAAUGAUGUUAAUCAAAGGAAAGGUCCUUCUCAUUGUAAAUGUUGUCUCACAAUGGCUGCGGCUUCACUAAUUCAAACUACAGAGAGCUGAAUCAAUUGUAUGAGCAAUAGAAAGGAAAAGGACUUGAAAUUCCGGCAUUCCCAUGCAAUCAGUUUGGGGUUCAGGAGCCAGGAACUAAAGAAGAGAUGGUGGAGUUUGCUUGUACUCGGUUCAAAGCUGCGUUUCCCAUUUCACUGAUUUCAUUCUUAGAUCUUUUUGAUACAAGUCAAAAUUAGGUCCCAAUUUAUGCAAGAUACCAAACUCAUUCUUCUGUGGUCUGUGGACGAACAUCAUCGAUUUCCUUCUCGUCUAAACUCAUGAUGUUCUUCUGCUUCUUUUGAAAUAUCAACUUCUAGAGUCUAUUUUUUGGCUCUAGGCCUAACCCUGUUAAUAAAAUGUGUGGGAAGCCUAAUAAAUGAACAAUUUUGAACAUUCUGAAUUUUUUAAUGAUGUUAAUUUGGGUAGGCAUAAGGUUCGUUACGACAUAUACAAUGGUUUUGCUUAUCUCAUUCUUACUCACUGCUCAAACGUGAACCAAACUUGCUAGUUCUUCCUCGUAAUAAAUGUCAUAUGAAGCCG
Molecule: non-coding RNA, 828 nt
Organism: Cajanus cajan (pigeon pea)
Lineage: Eukaryota; Viridiplantae; Streptophyta; Magnoliopsida; Fabales; Fabaceae
Source: RefSeq, a predicted model, not a curated record